This 67-nucleotide small RNA is filed under the name Bacillus sp. CECT 9360. RNAcentral describes it as "Bacillaceae-1". It matches the Rfam family "Bacillaceae-1 RNA". The record is from RNAcentral. Lineage: Bacteria; Bacillati; Bacillota; Bacilli; Caryophanales; Bacillaceae.
UGUUAAGGAACGAAGGCUAAGAACGCAACAUCCUGUUGCAACGCCUUCAUGACCUACAUCCUGUAGG